GAGUAACGCGUAGGUAAUCUACCCUUAUAUUUGGGAUAACAUUGGGAAACUGGUGCUAAUACCGAAUGGUCUUAUUUUAAUGCGAGUUAAAUUGAGUAAAGGUGGCCUCUGUAUAUGCUACCGUAUAGGGAUGAGCCUGCGUACCAUUAGCUAGUAGGUGGGGUAACGGCCCACCUAGGCGACGAUGGUUAGCGGGUCUGAGAGGAUGAUCCGCCACACUGGAACUGGAACACGGACCAG
This 240-nucleotide ribosomal RNA is filed under the name uncultured bacterium. RNAcentral's name for it is "partial 16S ribosomal RNA". It matches the Rfam family "Bacterial small subunit ribosomal RNA", at positions 108 to 334 of the family's 1533-position model. The record is from RNAcentral.